GAUGAACGCUGGCGGCGUGCCUAAUACAUGCAAGUCGAGCGAACAGACGAGGAGCUUGCUCCUCUGACGUUAGCGGCGGACGGGUGAGUAACACGUGGAUAACCUACCUAUAAGACUGGGAUAACUUCGGGAAACCGGAGCUAAUACCGGAUAACAUGUUGAACCGCAUGGUUCAACAGUGAAAGACGGUCUUGCUGUCACUUAUAGAUGGAUCCGCGCCGCAUUAGCUAGUUGGUAAGGUAACGGCUUACCAAGGCAGCGAUGCGUAGCCGACCUGAGAGGGUGAUCGGCCACACUGGAACUGAGACACGGUCCAGACUCCUACGGGAGGCGGCAGUAGGGAAUCUGCCGCAAUGGGCGAAAGCCUGACGGAGCAACGCCGCGUGAGUGAAGAAGGUCUUCGGAUCGGAAAACUCUGUUAUUAGGGAAGAACAAAUGUGUAAGUAACUAUGCACGUCUUGACGGUACCUAAUCAGAAAGCCACGGCUAACUACGUG
Molecule: ribosomal RNA, 497 nt
Filed under: uncultured bacterium
Lineage: Bacteria
Description: partial 16S ribosomal RNA
Rfam family: Bacterial small subunit ribosomal RNA
Source: RNAcentral